UGCGANNUGUAAUGUGAAUUGCAGACUUCAGUGAAUCAUCGAAUCUUUGAACGCACAUUGCGCCCGCUAGUAAUCUGAUGGGCAUGCCUGUUCGAGCGUCAUUUCAGACCUCAAGCCCUGCUUGGUGUUGGGUUUCUACGGCUCCUGUAGGCUCCAAAAACCAGUGGCGGGCUCGCUAUAAGUCCGAGCGCAGUACAUGUAUCUCGCUUGGGAAGUGUAGCGGGCUCCAGCUGCAGUCCCCCUCAAUUUACACCACAAGGUUGACCUCGGAUCAGGUAGGAAUACCCGCUGAACUUAAGCAUAUCAAAAAGCCGGGAGGAAGG
This 323-nucleotide ribosomal RNA is filed under the name uncultured sordariaceous ectomycorrhiza. Its description in RNAcentral is "eukaryotic LSU rRNA". The stretch from base 1 to 101 matches the Rfam family "5.8S ribosomal RNA", at positions 54 to 154 of the family's 154-position model. The record is from RNAcentral. Lineage: Eukaryota; Fungi; Ascomycota; Sordariomycetes; Sordariales; Sordariaceae.